Molecule: ribosomal RNA, 318 nt
Filed under: uncultured eukaryote
Lineage: Eukaryota
Description: partial 18S ribosomal RNA
Rfam family: Eukaryotic small subunit ribosomal RNA
Source: RNAcentral
CCCUUAGAUGUUCUGGGCCGCACGCGUGCUACACUGACGCAUACAGCGAGCACUUUCCAGUUCCGAGAGGCUACUGGUAAUCAUCAAUAUGCGUCGUGAUGGGGAUAGAUCUUUGGAAUUCUGGAUCUUGAACGAGGAAUGCCUAGUAAUCGCAGGUCAUUAGCCUGCGAUGAUUAAGUCCCUGCCCUUUGUACACACCGCCCGUCGCUACUACCGAUUUCGAGUGGUCAGGUGAAUCUUUCGGACUGUGGGCGCCCUUGAGGUGUUCGCGGAAAGUCAGGUAAAUCUUAUCACUUAGAGGAAGUAAAAGUCGUAACA